CAAAGAAAGAGCUGCGUGGGGCCCGGGCGAGGCGCCGGCAGCGAGCGCGGAGCGGAGCAGAGCCAUGGGGGCGGCCGGCCGGGAGGAGAUGGUGUACGCGUGGCAGUGUUUAUGUGAGAGAUCAAAACAGAGCCAAGCCCAUCCAGGGAAAAAUGGCGACUCCCGGGAUGGGGGAGCCGAGCCACGGGGUUGGCUGCCGUUUGGAUGGAUGGGACACGGGACAAGCAUUGUGGGGAUGCGGUGCGUCGGUUACCUGUUAUUCGGGGACUUUCUGGCCAUGGAGCCUGCCUUUGUUUUCUUUCUGGAAUAGUCACUAUCGAAGGGUAACACUGAUGCAUAGCCAUGUUCUGCUUCUCGGUCUCUUCUCUCCAAGUACUCGGCCGCCUCCAGGAGAAUUAACAGAGAGUUCAACUCCAUGGCUGCGUGUGAGAGGAGAGGAGAGCAGAGCCGAGCUAUGCCGAGCCGCGCUAUGCCGAGCUGAGCCGAGCCGUGCCGAGCUGAGCCCCCCGCAGCCCGGCCACUCCGCUCCGCGCCGCGCCCCGCGCCGAGUUCACGCGCGGGGGACUUCCAAGUCCCCAGUUAUAAGGCACCUCUCUCAACCUACAUUUGACACACAGUCGACAGGCAGCCCUCGCGGCCAAUAGGAAAACGGGGUUCAGUGAAGGGGCGGGACGAGGCGCCUCCAUGGGGCCAACCGGCG
Molecule: long non-coding RNA, 700 nt
Filed under: Gallus gallus (chicken)
Lineage: Eukaryota; Metazoa; Chordata; Aves; Galliformes; Phasianidae
Source: RNAcentral